Molecule: long non-coding RNA, 1218 nt
Organism: Mustela lutreola (European mink)
Lineage: Eukaryota; Metazoa; Chordata; Mammalia; Carnivora; Mustelidae
Exons: 3
Source: RefSeq, a predicted model, not a curated record
AAGCGCCCCACAUCACCCACUAGUAGCAGCUCCGGGUGAAUUUCAGGCUUCCUGGCCUUCCCAGCCCCACCAGAGUUAGUUCAGGACCAAUGGCCUUUGUCCCCGCAGAACCUGGGCUGCACGGGGAAAGAAGCGGACCUCCUAGCGCACGCCAGAGUCGGUCGGCACUCGGGUAAGCCCAGAUAACAGGUGGCUUUAAUGCCAGGUCCCAUGGCUCGGAGGAGCUCCAAGGUCAUUGGGUCAAUUCGGGGAGCACGUGAAAGAGAGGCAGGACCCCCCACUUGAGGAAGAGGCAACCCUUAACUCUGGCGAGCCUGCCAUGGAAGGCGGUACUCCAAAAACAAUGGGAAGAUGCCAAAAGAAGGAACAGAGAAGGUAGUUUGAAGGAGCUCCCAACAGCCAACAGACAAUUUCGGCCUCAAAGCACAUAGACAAAAGCAACAAUUUCAGCAUCGAAAUAAAUAAUGACAAUAACAGAUUAUAAUCCAUAGAAGAAAAUAUGAAUCCAUGAGUCUAAACAGGUACAAUUAAACAAAUGCAAGGGAAAGCUCUUACAACAGAAUGCCCGCGAAUAAAUGUUGGAGGAAUAGUGAAAAUAAAGAACGGCCAUUUUGCAAUGAUUAAGGUUAUCCAGCCAACAGUCAUAAAUGGGUGAUAAACAUCGUGGGUGAAAGUGGGGUAAAGAACAGUGGAUUUAUAUCACUUACAGAGAUUCCACACAAAAUAACUAUUAAUUACAAAGAGGGGGAAAAAACCUUUAGGUCCGAGAACCUCGCAGGCGCUGUCUUACUCAAACGACCAACAUUAUCAUCUGUAAUAGCACAAAUAUAUGUCACGUACCCCCCAGUAGGUCACAAUAAGACAACAUCACUAAUUUGAUCGCCUCACCAAAGAGGCAUAUCCUGAAUCUGAUCAGGAGGAAGCUUGGACAGACUCAGGCUCAGGCACAUUCUCUGUUUCCUUUAGGAAGAUCAAGGGCAUCAGACUUAGGAAAGAGUGAGGAAGUGCUCCAGGCAAAGGGGGGAAUCAAAGCCAUGGUGAGUGGGUGUAAUUCAUUAUCCCAAAUCAAACCUUUUUAUUACAAAGAACAUCACAGGGGCAUUUGGCAAAAGUGGAAUGGGGUGUCUAGGUGAAGGGCGUCUGUGAAUUCUUGCAACCUUUCUGCAUAUUAAAUUGUUUCAAAAUAAAUUUAUUUUUUUUUUAAAAAGCAGCAGGAAU